AAAGAAUACAAGAGCAGGCUCCCCACUGAGCACGCAGCCUAACAUGGGGCUUGAUCCUAGGACCCUGAGAUUAUGACCCAAACUGAAAUCAAGAGUCAGAUGUUCAAUCAACUGAAACACCCAGGCACCCCUUCAUUCACCUUUAAGAGAACCAUUUGGAACACCUAAAGGACUCUGCCCAAGGAGCACUGUCUCCGUUAGCUACAGAAAGUGAUGACUUCCUCAGUCCUUACUAAAAGCUUGGCCCACAACCCACCCUUACUCAUUGCCCAACUCAAUUUUGCCCUCACAUAACCUCAUUAGUCAGCCCCAGCACUCAGUUCCAAGAGGCCCCUCCAGAAAGCCUGAAGACCACUUCUCCCUAGGGGGUGACUAAGCAGAGCUUAAUCAGACCCAAAUGAGCUUUAUUUCUUGGGGAGAAUGUUUGUCCCCACAGUUUCCAGGACAGACUUGAGACCACAGGGCCCAAGUUUAAAUCUUGGGUGUACAGCUUACUUGGGGACUCUCUUUUGGCAUCUCUGCCAAGGACAUGGUUUGGCUGGAUCCACUAUCCUGGCCUCGGCACACCUCUGGGAAACUGAGCUAAGAGAAACAUGGCCCGGGAGGCAGAUGGGGAACUGGAGCUUUUGUCUGCUUGAAAGCAGGGCCUUACAACAGAAAUGUGCACCACCAGGGGCCAAGUGCUCAUUGGAUCAGUGACCAGCAUCUUCCUGACACUGCUGUGAGCCCCUGCACCUUUUCUGAGACUGGACUGCUGGCCAGGGCAAAAACAAGGCGAACCUUCUUGGAACCCCCAAUUAACUCUUCUCUGUGCAAUGGGGAGUGGAGGUGGGGUGGAGAGUGGUUCUUAACCUCUGUUAAAGAUGGUCAGUGACAGGGCAAUCUGAAUUGACCCUGUUGGGUUUGCAGUGGGAACUCACAGAUCACAGCAUUCAGUGAUAAUGAAUGGCUAUGGUGAAUGUGGCUAUUCCUCCCAAAACUUGCACAGCAUAAUCAACCAUGUGUCCUUGGCCAAUGUCCCAUCUACUCAGGAAUGCCCAAGGCAUCAUUAUAAGUCCAGUUCAAAUUCCUCUUCACUCAGAUUCCUCUCUUAGUCCUAGAAGGCCCUUCAGUUAAAGGUGAUGAUUUCAUGGCUUGUUCAGAUGUUUUAUUUGUGGUGACAUCUCCCCAGUCUCUUCUAGAGGGGAUAAGAGGUGUCUUUUUCAUCCUGACAUUCACCGUGGCAGCCAGAAUGGAGACUUACAUACAGUAGGCAUGUAAUAAAAUGAAAGUUAUAUUAAUAACAGCCUGUGGAGAAGAAUAAAUUCAGUCAUGUGAACUAUAAUAUUCA
RNAcentral lists this long non-coding RNA (1330 nucleotides) under Mustela putorius furo (domestic ferret). Its description in RNAcentral is "lncRNA (ENSMPUG00000025435.1)". The record is from RNAcentral. Lineage: Eukaryota; Metazoa; Chordata; Mammalia; Carnivora; Mustelidae.